RNAcentral lists this long non-coding RNA (241 nucleotides) under Elaeis guineensis (African oil palm). RNAcentral describes it as "long non-coding RNA (EGUI_LNC081538)". Lineage: Eukaryota; Viridiplantae; Streptophyta; Magnoliopsida; Arecales; Arecaceae. The record is from RNAcentral.
GACCGCUUGGGUAUUUCUCUGGUGUUUUACGCAGUCCACAGUACUAUUUCGUGGACCUAUCACGAUCAGACGGCCCAGGGAUGUCUCGGUCUUGAUCCAACGACUUGGGGCUUGAUUUGGCUUUAUUUAGAACUCCUAAUUCCUCUCUAAUUAGGUUUAAGCCCUUCAAAUAGGGCCUGAUCGGUGAAACAGAGGGUGCGGUCUUUUUUUUUUACCAUGGACGUGCCGUACGGAAUCCGUG